RNAcentral lists this ribosomal RNA (87 nucleotides) under Butyricicoccus pullicaecorum. The record is from RNAcentral. Lineage: Bacteria; Bacillati; Bacillota; Clostridia; Eubacteriales; Butyricicoccaceae.
GUUCCCAUUCCGAACACAGUAGUUAAGCUCAUUAACGGUGAAAAUACUUGGCUGGAGACGGCCCGGGAAAAUAACACGGCGCGCACA